CACCCCCUUGCUUCCCCCGCCUGUCUCUCCUAAAGAGGAUGUAGCCCUCCAUGAUUGUGUUCCAGUCAUGUGAGCUGUCCCACCACGUCUCAGUGAUCGCAACGAGAUCGUGGCCCUGUGUCCGAACGCAGAUCUAGAGCUCAUCCUGUUUAUUUCCCAUGCUCCGUGCACAGGCCCUUUAGGGAAGCAGCAGGUCUGCCAGUAGCUGACAGAGUAGAAAGGUGUGCCUCUCUUUUUUGUAUAGAGUUAGAGGCAAGCCUGAUAUCCAGCCAAGAUGGACAAAGGAGAAGGACAAAGACAAAGCCUGGGAGGAAGACUAUGAGCCUUCAGCACGAGAGACCCCCAGAGGGACCACCGGGGACUGAUAUGCAUGUGCCAGUGGGACGGUUCGGAAUCCAGGAACUAAUUAUAAUGACACUGCCUUUUCUAGAAGUAGUAAUGAACAUGUAUUAGCCUAGGAGCAGAAAAAGCUGCCGCCUGAUGUAACGUGUGUGCGUGUUGGAGGAGCCCAGACUCCCCGCGCACCCAGCGCUCUUUACUUGCCUUUUAUUAACCCCAUAAAUAAAUCUCAUAAAGCUAA
Non-coding RNA from Anas platyrhynchos (mallard), 580 nucleotides. NCBI's taxonomy places the organism in Eukaryota, Metazoa, Chordata, Aves, Anseriformes, Anatidae. The record is from RefSeq and is a predicted model, not a curated record.